Molecule: long non-coding RNA, 2531 nt
Organism: Bombus pascuorum
Lineage: Eukaryota; Metazoa; Arthropoda; Insecta; Hymenoptera; Apidae
Exons: 3
Source: RefSeq, a predicted model, not a curated record
UAAUUAUAUUUUGAUUAGUCAGUUAAUUUUAAUUAGGAAAUUGAUAAUUAAUAUAAUUAUUAAUAUACUAAAAGAUAUUAUUUAUUAAUUACUAGAUUAUGGAUGUUUAUGCAUUUAUGGGAAAUUUCGUUUAGAAAAACAUGGAAAAUACAAAUCGUAUGCAAGAAUAUAUGAAAUACUUAUUUAAAAAUUGAAAAAAUUUAUCGGUCAUCGGACUUAAAUUCCAAAAAUAAAUUGUACAGACAAUACAGUUUAUUAAGGAAACUGAUUCUCCAUAUUAAUUAAAAGCAAUUGAAUAAAUAUGGAUUGUUAGAUUCGUAAAAUUUAUAAUAAUAUAGAAACGUAUAUAGAAUUUAGAAAAUUUAGAAAAAUCCGUGAACGAAAAAGCUUUCAGAAAAAUAAUAUAUAUUAAUUCGAAAGAACACGAUGACAAAUAAUGCAUGGCAUUGAACAACUGCAUCUAGCAUCUAGAACCAUAAUACAUCAGAACAUAGAGUUAAGACCUUAAUCUUUUCCUUACUAUGAGUUACACCCUUCGCAUUCAGCUAGCGUUGAAUAAUGACAGACUAUAGUCACCUUUAACGAAAGUAAAUGUUAAAAUCAGUACCAAUAAAAAUGAAGUUUCUUAGCUAUAACUAUAGAUCAACAUUGAAUUCUAGUUUACUUUUCUCGUAGCAGUUCAGAUUUCUACAUAACUCGAUAAAGUUUUCGACAAAGUUGGUCGAUCUAAAACAUAAAUUAAAGAUUGAAAAUUGAAAAUAUUGAAAUCUUUAAAUACGAUAAUCGCAAUAGCUUCGAUGAAGACGGGAUAUAAUUUUUUGUACAACUAAGAUAAAUACAAAAUUUGAUUAAAACGACUGUGUUUGGAAGAUCUUAUUAUAGAUUUCCAAUUCUUUAUAAAUAUGUAUAAUAACGUGUUUUAUCUGUUUUACCUACUACUUUUUUAAAUCAUUAGCAAUUCUGUCGCAUUUUCCCAUCAUUUAAUCAUUAUCAGUUUGUAAGACUGAAGAUAAAAUAAAAGAAUCAUUGUUGAUAUGUUUAAUAUCAGAUUAAUUAAAUUGAGUGCGUUGAAGUUUUUAUGCAUUUAAACAAAAGAUGCAAAAAUUCAAAGAGCGCAGCAAGUUUAAUAUUUUAGAACGUACAAAUAUUUUUAUCACAUUAUAGAAUUUCCUCAAAUUGUAGAAUUUAUAAUAUUAUUUGUACGCGUUCUCCUCUGACCUGAGCAAGCAACUUUUAAGAAACUUUAAAAAAGAAACUAAAAAAAGCAAUUUCUCUAUUUUUACUUAUAGAUCGUUAAAAACCAAGGAAUUGCCGCGAAUUUUCAGCACAGAAUCAAAUCAAUCAGUUUCGCAUCGAACGAGCCGAAUAAUGUCCGUUUAAUCUCAAACUACACGCUUUGAUAUAUAAUAAUUAGGAUAAACGGAUUUUUGUGCAAUUUCCUAUCUUUGUGUACUCGAUUAAAAAAAUGAAACGAAAAUAGCGAUUUAUUUCGUUUAAAUAUCUCAAGUACUCUACGAAAAAUAUUUUACAUAUUUAUAUAUGUUAUGCGUAGGGCGUUCCGUUUUUAAGUUACAUAAAGAACUCACAGACAUGCUUAGCCUAAUUUGCAAGCGUAAUUAAAAUGGAAAGCAAGCAGGCGCAAACCUUUAGUUCCCGCCCUCGACACGCGCGCACGCUGCCAGCGAACCACGUAUCGCGCAAGGAUUUCUGAUCGGUCGUUGAGCAAUUUUAGGGGUGUUCCAUGGUGGAAAGAACGACGGCUAUUGUACGGAGAGGGGGUCGGAAUAGUGGGGGGCAAUCACCAGGGGUUAUACCUUGAUGGAAAAGUAUAAAAGGGCGCAGAAAGGUGCGUGGAGUGUUGUAGUCACGAGCUAUCCCGAGCGAGAAGACAGCAGUUGCGAGUUGUCCUCUUCGAGCCAACAACGCUCCGACUUCAGUCAGCGAUUGGGUGUUGAAGAAGGCGGUCAUAGAAGAACAUCACCACCAGUCGAGCUCUCACAUUGCACAAGCAUCCCUUGGCUUCACGGUCUCAGCAUCUGACUGCGAUCUGGACCAGGCGCAUCCGCAACAUCUAUACGCAUCUAUACGCAUUUAUUUGCAUUUAUAUGCAAUUAUAUGCGUGACUUUCGACCAGUGAGGCGUGUUACGAUUCCUUGCGGCCCUAUCAACCAGCAACUUCGAACAGCUACAUCUAUCUGAUCAUUGGCAUUCAACGGAGUGUGUUAACCGGAUCAGCGACAGCACCUAUUGAUCUAUCAAUAUGAUGUUUCAUAAUAGAGAACAGGAACAACCAAGAUCCCACUGGUGGUUUCCUAAUAGGUGCUACUUCCUUUUGUUGAUGCUCGAAAGCUUUAUUGGUUUGAUUACCUUCGUCUUCACAGUUCUAUUGACGCCCGGCCAGAGCUUGGAGUUGUGCGCAGACGGAGUUGCCAUUUUGACAGGACUUGCUGGUAUUGUUGAUGCGUUGAUGACGCCGCGCAACAGAUUUUCCGGCUUUACCACGGCUUUCAUUGUAGUCGACCUCGCUGCCU